UACGUAGGGUGCGAGCGUUAAUCGGAAUUACUGGGCGUAAAGCGUGCGCAGGCGGUCUGUUAAGACCGAUGUGAAAUCCCCGGGCUUAACCUGGGAAUGGCAUGGGAAACUGGCGAGCUUGAGUGCGGCAGAGGGGGGUGGAAUUCCGCGUGUAGCAGUGAAAUGCGUAGAGAUGCGGAGGAACACCGAUGGCGAAGGCAGCCCCCUGGGUCGACACUGACGCUCAGGCACGAAAGCGUGGGGAGCAAACAGG
RNAcentral lists this ribosomal RNA (253 nucleotides) under uncultured bacterium. RNAcentral's name for it is "partial 16S ribosomal RNA". It matches the Rfam family "Bacterial small subunit ribosomal RNA", at positions 524 to 776 of the family's 1533-position model. The record is from RNAcentral.